Molecule: ribosomal RNA, 777 nt
Filed under: uncultured bacterium
Lineage: Bacteria
Description: bacterial SSU rRNA
Rfam family: Bacterial small subunit ribosomal RNA
Source: RNAcentral
AGAGUUUGAUCCUGGCUCAGAACGAACGCUGGCGGCGUGCCUAACACAUGCAAGUCGAACGAGAAAGUUUCUUCGGAAACGAGUAAAGUGGCGCACGGGUGAGUAACACGUGAAUAAUCUGCCUUCGAGACUGGGAUAACUUGACGAAAGUUAAGCUAAUACCAGAUAAGACCACGCUUCACAAGGAGUGCGGGAAAAGGGAUCUCAAAUCCUGCUCGUAGAUGAGUUCGCGUACCAUUAGCUUGUUGGUGAGAUAAAAGCUCACCAAGGCGACGAUGGUUAGCCGGCCUGAGAGGGUGAUCGGCCACACUGGAACUGAGACACGGUCCAGACUCCUACGGGAGGCAGCAGUGGGGAAUCUUGCGCAAUGGGCGAAAGCCUGACGCAGCAACGCCGCGUGAGCGAUGAAGGCCUUCGGGUCGUAAAGCUCUGUCAAGUGGGAAGAACACAAUGACGGUACCACUAGAGGAAGCCCCGGCUAACUUCGUGCCAGCAGCCGCGGUAAUACGAAGGGGGCAAGCGUUGUUCGGAAUUAUUGGGCGUAAAGCGUAUGUAGGUGGUUUAUCAAGUCAGACGUGCAAGCCCUCGGCUCAACCGAGGAAUUGCGUUUGAAACUGAUAGACUUGAGUGUAGGAGAGGAAAGCGGAAUUCCCAGUGUAGCGGUGAAAUGCGUUGAUAUUGGGAAGAACACCGGUGGCGAACGCGGCUUUCUGGCCUGCUACUGACACUGAGAUACGAAAGCCAGGGGAGCAAAGGGGAUUAGAUACCCCCGUAGUC